Long non-coding RNA from Gadus macrocephalus (Pacific cod), 626 nucleotides. RefSeq lists it as uncharacterized. The transcript has 2 exons. Lineage: Eukaryota; Metazoa; Chordata; Actinopteri; Gadiformes; Gadidae. The record is from RefSeq and is a predicted model, not a curated record.
CUGAUGUUAACCGGCGUCGUCCCAUUGGCCAGGUAACGCACGGUUUCUGUAAAUCAUAAUACAUAUUCUUACUUUAAGUUUAUCCAAGUUUAUUCUUUUUUACUGUCGAUUAUUCAAAUAGAUGUAUCAGUGCAAAGGUGUUAAAUAUAUAUAUAUAUAUAUAUACAGUGUUGGUGAGUAACGGAAUACAUGCAUCGGCGUUACGUAUUCAAAAUACAAAUUAAAGCUAACUGUAUUCCGUUACAGUUACAAUUUAAAUAGUUGGUAUUUAGAAUACAGUUACAUUGUUGAAAUCAAUGGUUUACAUGACGAUACUUCUAUUUCAGCGGUUUAUUCGUGCUUUCACACCAACAGCAUUUAGUGCGCACUAAACGAGUUUGGUCUCCUUGGUUCGGUACGUUUGCGUUGGUCUGGUCUCGGUUCGCUUCCAAACGAACCCUGGUACGGUUCGCUCGAGUUGUGAAAGCGAAUGCACCUCAGUCCGAUCCAGUUCUACAAAGCAUAUGCCUCUUUGGACGUAACAGGCACCCGCUCAGCCGCGCGCAUUAUGGGAAUUAUUGUUUGAUUAGCGGUAACUCCGAGACUAGCAGCAAAUUGUCGGACCGUCUGGGAAUUUGGACAGACAC